UUGCACAAUGGGCGGAAGCCUGAUGCAGCGACGCCGCGUGGGGGAUGACGGCCUUCGUGUUGUAAACCUCUUUCGACAGGGACGAAGUGAAAAUGACGGUACCUGUAUAAGAAGCACCGGCUAAACUAACGUGCCAGCAGCCGCGGUAAUACGUAGGGUGCGAGCGUUGUCCGGAAUUACUGGGCGUAAAGAGCUCGUAGGUGGUUUGUCACGUCGUCUGUGAAAUUCCGGGGCUUAACCUCGGGCGUGCAGGCGAUACGGGCAAUACUUGAGUGCUGUAGGGGAGACUGGAAUUCCUGGUGUAGCGGUGAAAUGCGCAGAUAUCAGGAGGAACACCAAUGGCGAGGCAGGUCUCUGGGCAGUUACUGACGCUGAGGAGCGAAGCAUGGGUAGCGAACAGGAUCAGAUACCCUGGUAGUCCAUGCCGUAAACGGUGGGCGCUAGGUGUAGGGGACUUCCACGUUCUCUGUGCCGUAGCUAACGCAUUAAGCGCCCCGCCUGGGGAGUACGGCCGCAAGGUAAAAACUCAAAGGAAUUGACGGGGGCCCGCACAAGCGGCGGAGCAUGUGGAUUAAUUCGAUGCAACGCGAAGAACCUUACCUGGGCUUGACAUACACCGGACCGGCGUAGAGAUACGUCUUCCCUUGUGGCCGGUGUACAGGUGGUGCAUGGUUGUCGUCAGCUCGUGUCGUGAGAUGUUUGGGUUUAAGUCCCGCAACGAGCGCAACCCUUGUCUUAUGUUGCCAGCACGUGAUGGUGGGGACUCAUGAGAGACUGCCGGGGUCAACUCGGAGGAAGGUGGGGAUGACGUCAAAUCAUCAUGCCCCUUAUGUCCAGGGCUUCACACAUGCUACAAUGGUCGGUACAGCAGGUCGCGAACUCGUGAGAGUAAGCCAAUCCUUCAAAGCCGGCCYCAGUUCGGAUUGGGGUCUGCAACUCGACCCCAUGAAGUCGGAGUCGCU
This 962-nucleotide ribosomal RNA is filed under the name uncultured Actinomycetes bacterium. RNAcentral describes it as "bacterial SSU rRNA". It matches the Rfam family "Bacterial small subunit ribosomal RNA", at positions 364 to 1336 of the family's 1533-position model. Lineage: Bacteria; Bacillati; Actinomycetota; Actinomycetes. The record is from RNAcentral.